CGGCGGCUUACACCUGCGCUUUAAGCGGAGCGAAGGUGCUUGCCCUUGAGCUUACGGCGGACGGGUGAGUAAUGCUUAGGAAUCUGCCUAUUAGUGGGGGACAACGUUUCGAAAGGAACGCUAAUACCGCAUACGUCCUACGGGAGAAAGCAGGGGAUCUUCGGACCUUGUGCUAAUAGAUGAGCCUAAGUCGGAUUAGCUAGUUGGUGGGGUAAAGGCCUACCAAGGCGACGAUCUGUAGCGGGUCUGAGAGGAUGAUCCGCCACACUGGGACUGAGACACGGCCCAGACUCCUACGGGAGGCAGCAGUGGGGAAUAUCGGACAAUGGGCGAAAGCCUGAUCCAGCCAUGCCGCGUGUGUGAAGAAGGCCUUUUGGUUGUAAAGCACUUUAAGCGAGGAGGAGGCUUCUUUGGUUAAUACCCAAAGUAAGUGGACGUUACUCGCAGAAUAAGCACCGGCUAACUCUGUGCCAGCAGCCGCGGUAAUACAGAGGGUGCAAGCAGUUAAUCGGAUUUACUGGGCGUAAAGCGUGCGUAGGCGGCUAAUUAAGUCAAAUGUGAAAUCCCCGAGCUUAACUUGGGAAUUGCAUUCGAUACUGGUUAGCUAGAGUAUGGGAGAGGAUGGUAGGAAUUCCAGGUGUAGCGGUGAAAUGCGUAGAAAGAUCCUGGGAAGGAAUUACCCGAUCGCCGAAAGGCAGCCAUUCUUGGCCUUAAAUACUUGACAGCUGAAGGUACGCAACCCAUUGGGGGAGCACACCAGGGAUUUUGAUACCCUGGUACUUCAUGCCCGUAACGAUUUUUCCCUAACCGUGGGGUUUGUGAACCUAGGGCCAU
Molecule: ribosomal RNA, 834 nt
Filed under: uncultured Acinetobacter sp.
Lineage: Bacteria; Pseudomonadati; Pseudomonadota; Gammaproteobacteria; Moraxellales; Moraxellaceae
Description: bacterial SSU rRNA
Rfam family: Bacterial small subunit ribosomal RNA
Source: RNAcentral